GCUCUCACUUCUGUGCAGUGGUGGAUUAAUGGAGAGGCAGAGUAGGCAUUUGCCUACGGCGGCAAAAUCUGGGGAGCAGCAAGUUUUGCCCUCCUCAGAUUUUGCCGUCCCUCUCUGUGGGCAGCGGCAGCUGCAACAAGGGUGGGGUGAGCAAGGAGAAAGUCCCCCUUUUUACCUUAAAAAAAAGGGGGGGGACAUUUUUUGUUUAAGAUAAAAGGGUGGCAAAAGCCUUUUUGCCUAUGGGCGGCCACAAGCUGAAUCCUCCCCUGCUUCUGUGUGCCUCUUUCUCUCACCAGAGGUUCCUUGCAAAGAGAAGCAAAACACCAUUGUCGACACCAACAAACCCCUGCCCCCCUUUCACCUGCCCUGGAAGGAUUCAGGAGGGAGCAGCUCCAGCAUAUGAUGCACCCCGGACAGGCUCACCACAAAGAGCUGAACUGAUGGAAUGGGCUGGCCAGCCUGAAAGGAGAAGAGAGAAAGGUGAGACACAGGGCUGCAGGUGGAGGCUGGAUGAAGGUGUUUUUGGUACUGCUGAAACAGAUGUUGGGAAAAGAAGCUUAUGAAAAGGAGCACAAGUGUUCAGAGACUCGCCUGCAUCAGUUUCGCCUGUGAACUCACACUGCCCAAACCCCAAAGUUUCAGAAUUAGGUAUGGAGAGGGGGCAAGUAUUAUUUAAUUAUUUUAUAUACCACCUUUCAAAAAAAAUGGCUCAGGGUGGGUUACAUCAA
Long non-coding RNA from Hemicordylus capensis (graceful crag lizard), 728 nucleotides. RefSeq lists it as uncharacterized. The transcript has 3 exons. The record is from RefSeq and is a predicted model, not a curated record. NCBI's taxonomy places the organism in Eukaryota, Metazoa, Chordata, Lepidosauria, Squamata, Cordylidae.